RNAcentral lists this unclassified non-coding RNA (227 nucleotides) under Hevea brasiliensis (rubber tree). Lineage: Eukaryota; Viridiplantae; Streptophyta; Magnoliopsida; Malpighiales; Euphorbiaceae. The record is from RNAcentral.
GGAUUUAUUCAUUAACUACGGUGUCGCAGAAUGCUUUGCCUUUCUUAUCUGCACAAAAUGGUACAACCCUGCAAUCCACAGACAGUCAAGUCUGCGUACACCCAGCUCUUCUAUAACAAGUUCUUCUAUAACAAGCAUGAGAUAUCUUACCCGGAACAGUGGAUUUCUUGCAUCUGUGGAUGAAGAUGAUCAGCAUAGUGGAAUAUGCAGUUUGCAGGACAUUGGUG